UUCCUGAUGGCUCAGAUGGUAAAGAAUCUGCCUGCAAUGCAGGAGACCUGGGUUUCAUACCUGGGUCAGGAAG
Non-coding RNA from Ovis aries (sheep), 73 nucleotides. NCBI's taxonomy places the organism in Eukaryota, Metazoa, Chordata, Mammalia, Artiodactyla, Bovidae. The record is from Rfam.